GGAACGGAAGUGGAGUUUGUCCAUUGCCAAGAAGCAUAAGCUCCGAUUGCUAUUUUGUAGAUGAAGGAGCAGUAGCCUGAGCUUGAGGGGUUUGCUGAGGCCGGACACUUGAACUGUAUCGGGCUGCAACACCUGUUGCUGAUCUUUAGUAGGGCGGCGAACAUCUUUCGCCUUCCAACAAGCCACACAGCCCCAUGGCCUCCGGCGAGGUUAAUUUUUUGGUGAUGUGCUAUUACACGUCUCAGUUAGAGAGAGAGAAAGUCAAGGCGUUCAGCGACCUUAGUACAUGGUGUGGG
This 296-nucleotide unclassified non-coding RNA is filed under the name Hevea brasiliensis (rubber tree). Lineage: Eukaryota; Viridiplantae; Streptophyta; Magnoliopsida; Malpighiales; Euphorbiaceae. The record is from RNAcentral.